GCUAAAGCGAGAGCCAUAAUAGAAGCCAAAAGCAUUGGAGCUGUGACGUCUGAGCAGGUUCCGCCUCCACUCUCCACCGUGCUCACACACAGAGCAGAGUCACGGGUCUGGUCCCAUUUCGCCUGCAGCCAAACAUGUCCUGAACAAGACUCCGCUGGUCGCCAGCGCUGACAACCGGAGACGUACCCCGAACAGAGUGACGUAGUUGCUGAUGAGGUCGCGGACGACGCCGAUUUCUUGUGGGGUUUGUCCGCUGGUCUGGAACAAGCAGGAGGAGAAGACGGAGGCUAGUUUUUCACUGGGCAUGUGGUUGACGUGGGAACACUGCUGGAUCCUGAAUCACGGGGAGAGACGUGUUCGGAAUGAACAACACAGAAAUGCCAGCGCGUCGCGUCGUCCGCUGCCUCAAUCUCACAUUCACACGCAAUAAACGAAGCGCUAGACCUCAGUCUGCAUCCAGUCAAGGCCUGAAUGUACAAACAAUCAGUCGUUGAGCUAAUGCAGCUAAAUCUCUGAGGAAAGGCUGUGAAACAUAAGCUGCAGCCAAUGAGACGUCAUCUUAUUCCCACACCCUGUCUCUAUUUCUUACCUCCUGUAACUCAUUACUAGUCCUCAUUUAUGGCGUUAGCCGGCUGCCUUCACCAUGAAAAGCCAGAAAAAGCUGCCAUUUGUUUCAUGGACUAUGAACAAGUAUCUGUUUUCUAACUGAGCUUUUAAAGAUGAGUCAAUCAGGUUGUCUUGCUUGGAAAAGGCCAUGGAAUGGUGCAAAGAGCACAGAAUUGAUUCAUCACUUUCAACUCAAAAGGCACAACUGUGUGAGAAAGCAAGCUUUUCUUUUCUGGAUGUAACUUGUAACAGCUCCAUCCACUAAAGUCUGGUGUCGGUGAAUCUGGAAAAUGAUCAGAUUAAGAACAACAAUAAUAAUAUAAUAAUAACAAAAGCUUAUUGUUAAGAGAAAACGAGAAGCUGCAUUACGAUAUCUUCUGGUUCACAGUGAGUGUCCAGCUACUGUAAUAAUGGAUGAGCUGAGGUUUAGUUUGAGCACAGGACACGAAAACGUUUAGAAUUAUGCCAUAAAUCAAUGUUAAAGUACAGGGUGAGAAGCUGGUUGUGUUGUUUAUUUGUGGAAAGCGUGAACGUCAUUGUUUUGUCAGCUUUUUCAUCUCAUUUUUUUAAUUUAAACACAGUUUGUGCUAUAAAUGUCCCCUUCAGGGUGGCGGAAGUCUAACGUGACAGAGUCGCGGCAGCAGCUGUGAGCGCGUGCGACGCGGCCGCUCCGCGAGCGCGUACCUGUACAGAUGCCGCAGCAGCGCGUCGAGCGUUGAUCUGUUUAUCCUGGGCACGUUCUGUAUGAAGGUGGAGUACAUCUUUACUCGCUGCCGCUCGUCCUUCUCAUCUAAAGAACCGCACAGACAAGAGCGGCUUCAAACGCUGCCAAAUGUGACAAACUAUAAACACAAACGGGCGUCAGACGGCGCUUUUUUUUUUGUUUUUUUUUUGUUAUUUGUCGAGCAGAUUCGAAGCGGGACGCCUCCGCUACACACCCAGAACCGACACCCAGUACGGAUACAGCUCCUUGGUGAGGAGCGCGUCCUCCGCCUGCGACAGGAAGCUCCUCAGGGUGCACGCGACGUCCUCCAGCCGGUGCUCCUUCUCGCGCAGCUUCACGUCGCGGGCGCUGUGGGCGAAGUCCUGCAGGAGCUGGGCCACGCGCCCGGGGUUCCCCGGCUUCUGGUAGACCCCGUCCUGACACAGGCCUGGAUGCACAGAGCGGGACACGGACACGGGGGAGGAGGGAAGUAACUCAGUGGUCAUGAAGUCGCCUGUGUGUGCGACGAAAUGCAAUUAUGGGGCGACAACCAACCUCGUGGCCGCGGUGAAUUAUGGAAAACAGCAGCGUUACAUAAGCACAUUUGAAUCUGAAUUGGUGGAAUAGAACUAUUGGUGCACGAUGUAUUAACCUCCUGUCCCACUUCACAGUCAGUAGCGCUGCGCGGGUCCCCUUUUCCGCAUUUAUCGUGCAUUUUCCAGGCGACAAUUUUUCUUGUGUGUGUUUAUAUGUGGACGGGACGCAAAUCCCAGCAAUAGACCCAUGCAGGUUUGCAGGGACUCACCGUACUGGGUGACAAACGCGAUGCAACUGUCGACUAUGAUGGGGACGCCGCUCCUCGUCAGCUGCUGGUCGCCGAGGGCCUUGCCGCGCGUGCCGGCGGCCAGCGUGAUGGCCGCGUGCCACAGCGUGAAGUCCGCCUUGUUGAAGCCGUGGACGUAAACCGUUCUAUUAGAGAGACAUCAGCGCUGUGUUAAUCGUGGUGCGAUACCCAUCAACAGUAUGGUGGUGGUUUGAAUUGCUAAGCCGACGACCUGACGCUGUGCACGCGCUCGCAAAAAAGCUGAGCCGCUAAAUAAACAUGAUCAAAAGUAGCCCAAACAAGCGCUCGCGCGGAGCGGGAGGCGCGUGGUUUGAUCAAAAAAAAAAAAAAAAACACACGGCAAUUAACAAAGUAAGCGCAAAGUGCGGCUGCACGAGCCCGAACCUGCAGACUCGCGCGAGGCCGCCGUGCGUCACGUCUUCCCCUCCUAACCUCUGCUCUCCAGCGAGGCGGGCUGUAAUUACCUCGGAUGCGUACAGUAGCUGGAGAGCACGAGACAAAGGCGCAAUCAAAGCGGCAGCAGCCCGGUUGCAUAAUGCAUAGAGGCGCUGCGCCACAAACACGCUCCCAAUUAAGCGCAUCUUUUUUUUUUUUUUUUUUUUUUUGCGUGACUUACCUUCCGCCCUCCACCAUCAGCAGCACUUGCAUCUUGUCCUCGCCCUCCGUGUGCGUGGAGACAGCUGUGGGGGGGGGGGGGGGAGAAGGGCAGCGGGUUGUAAAUGCAGCGUACUGUGUGAAAGAAGACACGCGCAGCAAUGCGACGGGAACAAUUUGGCGUUGACAUUUGGAUCCGCUCAAUCUCCGUCCGCCGUCGACGCCGUCACCGCCGCCGCUAAAAGACGUGCGGCGGAGGGGACGGAAAGAGCAGAACAUGGAGGAAAUGCCAACGCGUCCCAAUGGAGCUAAUAGCUUUUUCUUGUAUGGAGAACACAAAUUCAGUUUCUGUGUCGAGGAAACACUGAAGGUGGUUUCAGCAACAGAGGGAAGUGGAGCACGCGGCGUCACACGCUCACACUGAGGCCACUGUUUAAAGCACUGUAAUGAGGAGGACGCGAGGGGCUUCACGCGUCCUUUACCUUCUGAAGAUCUAAAUAACCUCGGCCAUAAUCUCCUCCGUGGGUUCAAACAACUCACAUCAUGACAGCCAUCUUCUCACAACUGUACAACAUCUGGCUCUCUGGUCAGACAUAAAUAAAAAGUAAAAUCCAACCGAACUGUGAAUUGCCUUUAAUUUGACCUUUGGGUCACGUGAAAUAGUCGAGGCCGAAAUGUGUCAUUUUACCAUCACGACACAGAAUAAACAACCCUUUCAAU
Long non-coding RNA from Betta splendens (Siamese fighting fish), 3467 nucleotides. RefSeq lists it as uncharacterized. The record is from RefSeq and is a predicted model, not a curated record. NCBI's taxonomy places the organism in Eukaryota, Metazoa, Chordata, Actinopteri, Anabantiformes, Osphronemidae. The transcript has 3 exons.